RNAcentral lists this ribosomal RNA (481 nucleotides) under uncultured bacterium. RNAcentral's name for it is "partial 16S ribosomal RNA". It matches the Rfam family "Bacterial small subunit ribosomal RNA", at positions 28 to 507 of the family's 1533-position model. The record is from RNAcentral.
GAUGAACGCUGGCGGCGUGCCUAACACAUGCAAGUCGAACGGAUAUUUCGGACGUUAGUUUUCGUAUGGAUUCCUGUAAUUCUUAGUGGCGGACGUGUGUGUAACGCUUGUUCCACCUGCCCUAUACAGGGGGAUAGCAGCUGGAAACGGCUGGUAAGACCUCAUAAUUCGUCGCUUCCGCAUUGUUUUGCCGGGUAAUGUGCAAUCAGGUAUAGGAUGGUCCCGCUUCCGAUUUGCCAGUUGGCAGGUUAAAAGACUUCCAAAGCAACGAUCGGUAGACGGAAAGAGAGGAAGGACGGACACAAUGGGACUGAGACACGGCACAAAAUACGACGGGAGGAAGCAGAGGGGGAUAUUGCAAAAUGGAGGAAACGCUGAAGAAGCGACGACGGGUGAGUGAAGAAGUAAUUCGGUAAGAAAAGCAAUAUCAGCAGGGAAGAUGAUGACGGUAACUGACUAAGAAGCACCGGCUAACUACGUG